This 502-nucleotide ribosomal RNA is filed under the name uncultured bacterium. Its description in RNAcentral is "bacterial SSU rRNA". It matches the Rfam family "Bacterial small subunit ribosomal RNA", at positions 24 to 518 of the family's 1533-position model. The record is from RNAcentral.
UCAGGAUGAACGCUAGCGACAGGCUUAACACAUGCAAGUCGAGGGGCAGCAUAAAAGUAGCAAUACUUGGUGGCGACCGGCGCACGGGUGAGUAACGCGUAUGCAACCUACCUAUCAGAGGGGAAUAACCCGGCGAAAGUCGGACUAAUACCGCAUAAAACAGGGGCACCGCAUGGUGAUAUUUGUUAAAAGAGAUUCGCUGAUAGAUGGGCAUGCGUUCCAUUAGGUAGUUGGUGAGGUAACGGCUCACCAAGCCGACGAUGGAUAGGGGAACUGAGAGGUUGGUCCCCCACACUGGUACUGAGACACGGACCAGACUCCUACGGGAGGCAGCAGUGAGGAAUAUUGGUCAAUGGGCGGGAGCCUGAACCAGCCAAGUCGCGUGAAGGAAGAAGAAUCUAUGGUUCGUAAACUUCUUUUGCAGGGGAAUAAAGUGCAGGACGUGUCCUGUUUUGUAUGUACCCUGAGAAUAAGGAUCGGCUAACUCCGUGCCAGCAGCGGC